CACACAGCUCGUACACCGGGCUUACACAUGAUUUUUGCUAAAUGGUUGGGCAAACCCUCAAUUCUAUCUAAAUAUAUAGCUUUGUAACCUAUCGGACUUACGCGAAAAAAAUGGCUUACUACGC
Long non-coding RNA from Haliotis rubra (blacklip abalone), 124 nucleotides. RefSeq lists it as uncharacterized. The transcript is spliced from 3 exons. Lineage: Eukaryota; Metazoa; Mollusca; Gastropoda; Lepetellida; Haliotidae. The record is from RefSeq and is a predicted model, not a curated record.